UUCCCCCCCAAAGCCCCAGGGCAUGGUGGUAUAUUCUAGUUCUAAGUCCUUCUAGUUUUUCUAUGUGAGCUGCCACCACAGCACGGCUACUGACGGAUGGGUGGUGUGGUUCCUGGGUGCGGGAUCCGGGCCCCUGAAGCAGAGUGUGCCCAACUUUAACCACUAGGCCAUCAGGGCCGGCUGGCUCUAGUUGGUUGUUUUUAUAAGAAAUGCAAUGAGCCUCUCCAAGGGACAGACUUCGCAAAAAAAAAAGAGGGGUUUUCCACCAAGUCUCUUUCAUUCUUAUUCCAAAUAAUACCAAGUGCUAAUCGGAUGUUGGUGGCACUGGCUGGUCAGCUCUCUGCUGACCAGCGCGUCUUUUUAGACUGCUUCGAAGCUUGUAACCGUGAAGUCCUCCCCCACCUCUCCUGCUACCUACUGUCCUAGAAGAAGUUGGAAGAGACACCCACCCACAAGUAGGACCAAGGCGGCUGCCACUGCCUCUCUUCUCUGCUGGAACUAUGGCCAAGUGACAAGCAGGUGGCAUUUCUCACAAGCAUGCACUGGGGCCUGACACGGGUUGUCUUUCUGAGCCCAACUCCCAGUCACCGUCACAGACCAAUUUGUGGGUUGGUUGUCCACUCCUGUCAGUCACGCUUGGUGGGGAUGCCCUGUGGGUCAGGUGGUCUACAUGGGUUCACGGGGAAGGGUCUCCAAGUCCUCCUUAAGGGGCCCUGGGCUGGAGUUGGACGGGGUACCAGGAGCAGAGAAAGAAAAGACAUGGGGAGGGUCUUCUGAUGGAUUUGGUGACUGCAGAUGAGGGAUGGUGACAGGUAGGAGGAGUCAGUGACCCUGGAAGGCAGGACAGGUGCCCAGUCGCACUUUCGAGGAGCACAGGCAGGAAGAGCAGGCGAAGGUGCCGUUGGAGAGGGAGGAGGAAGCCCAGCUGAGGGGCCAGAGUUGGCCCAAGAAACAGCUCGGUGAAAGCCAGCACCUCAGGACUGGAGAGGAUGGUGAUUAUAACACGGCUGUGUUCCCUCGAAGCCAUGCAUCCUCUAGCAGUCACAUGACUUCUCUAGGCCUCGGUUUUCCCCUCUGUGAAAUGGAGUCGGUAAUGACACCUCCCCCUUGGACUGUUGAGAGAGCUACAAGAACUUCAAGUGCAGCUCCUGCCUGGAGAGCGGCCUGACUGUGCGUGGGUUGAACACAUCAGUGGUCCUGCAGAGGGAGACAAAUUCUGGCUGUGGAAGCACCAAGGGCAGGUGCUGGACGGGGAGGGCGAGGAAAGUUCCCAGGGGGAGCGCUGGAGCCAGCUGAAGCGGUUUAUCUUUUCCAGGACUGAUUACGCUCAGAGAGACAGAAGGAGGCAGGUGCAGAGCAUUUCGGAAUGGUCAGGGGAUUCCAGGAAGAGGUGGCUAAAUCGGGUGGGUGGGCCGUGUGGCCCUGCCCUGGGGCCACUCCGUUGCAGACUGUAAUGUGCAAAGGAGGCUUUAGAGAGGCGGGGCUGGUGUUCCAGGCAAGCUGAGGUCUCUGCAGAUGGUGCUCCUGGGAGAAACAUCCCGGGGGUGCCGGGCCUGACACUGGGACUGCUGUCUGGAGGCGUGAAUGCAUACACGCUCUGGCUGGCCAGGGCCUACGACCCCAGAGCACGCGGGGAGCACGACCGACCGCCACCGUCCUUCCUGCCGCAGUGAGAACUCACAUUCAGCCUGGGAAAGGCAUGAACCCGUGGUGGGCCGGUGCCUCUUGGAAAAGGGAGCCCCUGGGGAGUAUGGACAUCCCGCUCUCAGUCACCGGGAAGUGCUGGGCCCCGGAGCCACAGAGGCAGGAAGGCAGGCCUCAGGCGGCCAGCUGGGGUUCCCGACAGCGAACUCAUAGAUUAAAACCUACUUAUGAGUUUCGAUCCAUCGCGAUAAGUGUCUUUAUCCCAGCGCAGGUUCUGCCACCUCUGCCAUACGUGGAGCUCCGCAAGUUCGACUCACUAACUCCUUUCAGGAGUGGCCGGCAGGACAGCAUCCGCAGCCCGUCUCUCCAGGGAAGGAGGAUGGUGCUGUGAGCUCCCUCGAGGCAGAGGACCAAGACGAAGGCUGCGGGUUGGAGCAGCGAGGCGGGCUCCUGUGCGGGAGAGCCGAUGCAGAACCAGAGCGGCGUGGCACGCGGUAAACUUGCUCCCCGGGUCGAGGCCUCAGGACGACGUUAUUCCAUCCAUUC
Equus asinus (donkey) is the source of this 2190-nucleotide long non-coding RNA. NCBI's taxonomy places the organism in Eukaryota, Metazoa, Chordata, Mammalia, Perissodactyla, Equidae. The record is from Ensembl.